GUGUCAGCAGCCGCGGUAAUACGUAGGGUGCGAGCGUUAAUCGGAAUUACUGGGCGUAAAGCGUGCGCAGGCUGUUUUGUAAGUCAGAUGUGAAAUCCCUGGGCUCCACCUAGGAACUGCGUUUGAAACUACAAGGCUAGAGUGUAGCAGAGGGGGGUAGAAUUCCACGUGUAGCAGUGAAAUGCGUAGAGAUGUGGAGGAAUACCAAUGGCGAAGGCAGCCCCCUGGGUUGACACUGACGCUCAUGCACGAAGGCGUGGGGAGCAAACAGGAUUAGAUACCCUUGUAGUCC
This 292-nucleotide ribosomal RNA is filed under the name uncultured Methylophilaceae bacterium. RNAcentral describes it as "partial 16S ribosomal RNA". It matches the Rfam family "Bacterial small subunit ribosomal RNA", at positions 505 to 796 of the family's 1533-position model. The record is from RNAcentral. Lineage: Bacteria; Pseudomonadati; Pseudomonadota; Betaproteobacteria; Nitrosomonadales; Methylophilaceae.